UGGUACACUUGAGAUCAAAUGUUCAAAGGAUAAUCAAAAUUCAGGGGCUCAUUGGACCAUCACAUCUUUGGAGAAGGACCUGCUGUUGCUGAUAUUGUUACAAGGGAGGGGAAAUACAACUUG
Molecule: long non-coding RNA, 123 nt
Organism: Prunus avium (sweet cherry)
Lineage: Eukaryota; Viridiplantae; Streptophyta; Magnoliopsida; Rosales; Rosaceae
Source: RefSeq, a predicted model, not a curated record